AGCAGCCGCGGUAAUACCGGGGAGGGCAAGUGUUGCCCGGAUUCACUGGGCUUAAAGGGGGUGUAGGCGGUCAGGUGUGUCGGACGUGAAAUCCACCGGCUUAACUGGUGGGCUGCGUUCGAUACUACCUGACUAGAGGUCGCCAGAGGAGAGCGGAACUCCCGGUGUAGCGGUGAAAUGCGUGGAUAUCGGGGAGAACGCCAGUGGGGAAGCCGGCUCUCUGGGGCGAUCCUGACGCUGAGGCCCGAAAGCUGGGGGAGCGAAGGGGAUUAGAUACCCCCGUAGUCCCAGCCGUAAACGAUGCGGGCUAGGUGUCCUCGACGUAAGUCGGGGGUACCGUAGGGAAACCGUUAAGCCCGCCGCCUGGGGAGUACACCCGCAAGGGUGAAACUCAAAGGAAUUGACGGGGGGGCGCACAAGCGGUGGAGCGCGUGGUUCAAUUCGAUGCUAACCGAAGAACCUUACCUAGGCUUGACAUGCUGGUAGUAUCCCGAUAGAAAUAUCGGGAGAUUCUGACUUGUCGGAAAGCCAGCACAGGUGCUGCACGGCUGUCGUCAGCUCGUGCCGUGAGGUGUUGGGUUAAGUCCCGCAACGAGCGCAACCCCUGCCCUUAGUUGCCACAGCGGCUACGUGCCGGCUGGGCACUCUAAGGGGACUGCCCCCGAUGAGGGGGAGGAAGGUGGGGAUGACGUCAAGUCAGUGUGGCCUUUAUGCCCGGGGCUACACACGCGCUACAAUGGGUGGGACAGAGGGAAGCAACCCCGCAAGGGGAAGCAAAUCCCUAAACCCACCCCCAGUUCGGAUCGGGGUCUGCAACUCGACCCCGUGAAGCCGGAAUCGCUAGUAAUCGCCGGUCAGCAAUACGGCGGUGAAUACGUUCCCGCCCCUUGUACACACCGCCCG
RNAcentral lists this ribosomal RNA (903 nucleotides) under uncultured bacterium. RNAcentral describes it as "bacterial SSU rRNA". It matches the Rfam family "Bacterial small subunit ribosomal RNA", at positions 510 to 1396 of the family's 1533-position model. The record is from RNAcentral.